RNAcentral lists this long non-coding RNA (210 nucleotides) under Physcomitrium patens. RNAcentral's name for it is "long non-coding RNA (PPAT_LNC004352)". The record is from RNAcentral. Lineage: Eukaryota; Viridiplantae; Streptophyta; Bryopsida; Funariales; Funariaceae.
AGCAAAACCAUCGUCAAGUAUCUUUGUUUCCAUCUGUGUUGCCGUGAUAUAAGGUUGUCCUAAAAUCAACGGAUAAGACGUUGUAUCUUGAACAAAGAAAUGUUGCUCCGUCACAACAUCCCCAAUCCGAAUUUUGACAUCUGGACAAGCUCCAUAUAAUUCGCCUCGUGUGUUAUUAGCUGCUCGUAUUGCCCAUCCAUGUUCCAUAUC